GCCCUGAUAGCUCAGCUGGUAGAGCGCGUGACUUGUAAUCACGCGGCCGGGGGUUCAAAUCCCUCUCAGGGCU
This 73-nucleotide transfer RNA is filed under the name Candidatus Aenigmarchaeota archaeon ex4484_52. RNAcentral describes it as "tRNA-Thr". It matches the Rfam family "tRNA". Rfam says of the family: Transfer RNA (tRNA) molecules are approximately 80 nucleotides in length. The record is from RNAcentral. Lineage: Archaea; Nanobdellati; Candidatus Aenigmatarchaeota.